GACGAACGCUGGCGGCGUGCCUCAUACAUGCAAGUCGAACGCAGUGGGGACGGGUGAGUAACACGUGGGUAACCUCCCAUCAGAGGGGAUAACACUUGGAAACAGGUGCUAAACCGAUACUGAUGGAUGGACCCGCGGUGCAUUAGCUAGUUGGUAAGGUAACGGCUAACCAAGGCCACGAUGCAUAGCCGACCUGAGAUGGUGAUCGGCCACACUGGGACUGAGACACGGCCCAUACUCCUACGAGAGGCUGCAGUAGGGAAUCUUCCGCAAUGGGCGCAAGCCUGACGGAGCAACGCCGCGUGAGUGAAGAAGGUUUUCGGAUCGUAAAGCUCUUUUGUAAGAGGAGCGUUAUCUUACCAGAAAGCCACGGCUAACUACGUGCCAGCAGCCGCGGUAAGAC
RNAcentral lists this ribosomal RNA (403 nucleotides) under uncultured bacterium. RNAcentral describes it as "partial 16S ribosomal RNA". It matches the Rfam family "Bacterial small subunit ribosomal RNA", at positions 28 to 526 of the family's 1533-position model. The record is from RNAcentral.